Molecule: ribosomal RNA, 490 nt
Filed under: uncultured bacterium
Lineage: Bacteria
Description: partial 16S ribosomal RNA
Rfam family: Bacterial small subunit ribosomal RNA
Source: RNAcentral
AGAGUUUGAUCCUGGCUCAGGAUGAACGCUGGCGGCAUGCCUAACACAUGCAAGUCGAACGGACCUUUAUUUUUGAGAGUUCCUUUAUAGAAAUUCUCAAAAUACUGGUUAGUGGCGGACGGGUGAGUAACACGUUGGUACCUACCCUCUAGUGGGGAAUAACUUCGAGAAAUCGAGGCUAAUACCGCAUGUGGUCUACGGAUCAGAGCAGUAAUGCGCUAGAGGAGGGGCCUGCGUCUGAUUAGCUUGUUGGUGAGGUAAAAGCUCACCAAGGCGACGAUCAGUAGCUGGAUCGAGAGGUUGACCAGCCACACUGGGACUGAGAUACGGCCCAGACUCCUACGGGAGGCAGCAGUGAGGAAUCUUCCACAAUGGACGAAAGUCUGAUGGAGCAAUGCCGCGUGCAGGAUGACGGCCUUCGGGUUGUAAACUGCUUUUAUAUGGGAAGAUUAUGACGGUACCAUAUGAAUAAGGACCGGCUAACUACGUG